GAGCUAUGAGGACACUAUGAUGUUGAUCAAUUUGAAGUGAUUGUAUUAUACGCUAUUCUGAGCCCCAU
RNAcentral lists this small nucleolar RNA (68 nucleotides) under Aplysia californica (California sea hare). Its description in RNAcentral is "small nucleolar RNA U54". It matches the Rfam family "Small nucleolar RNA U54". The record is from RNAcentral. Lineage: Eukaryota; Metazoa; Mollusca; Gastropoda; Aplysiida; Aplysiidae.